This 468-nucleotide ribosomal RNA is filed under the name uncultured Streptococcus sp. RNAcentral's name for it is "bacterial SSU rRNA". It matches the Rfam family "Bacterial small subunit ribosomal RNA", at positions 916 to 1381 of the family's 1533-position model. The record is from RNAcentral. Lineage: Bacteria; Bacillati; Bacillota; Bacilli; Lactobacillales; Streptococcaceae.
CGGGGCCCGCACAAGCGGUGGAGCAUUGUGGUUUAAUUCGAAGCAACGACGAAGAACCUUUACCAGGUCUUGACAUCCCGAUGCUUAUUUCUAGAGAUAGAAAGUUACUUCGGUACAUCGGUGACAGGUGGUGCAUGGUUGUCGUCAGCUCGUGUCGUGAGAUGUUGGGUUAAGUCCCGCAACGAGCGCAACCCCUAUUGUUAGUUGCCAUCAUUCAGUUGGGCACUCUAGCGAGACUGCCGGUAAUAAACCGGAGGAAGUGGGAUGACGUCAAAUCAUCAUGCCCCUUAUGACCUGGGCUACACACGUGCUACAAUGGUUGGUACAACGAGUUGCGAGUCGGUGACGGCGAGCUAAUCUCUUAAAGCCAAUCUCAGUUCGGAUUGUAGGCUGCAACUCGCCUACAUGAAGUCGGAAUCGCUAGUAAUCGCAGGUCAGCAUACUGCGGUGAAUACGUUCCCGGGCCUU